GAUGAAGAACGUAGCGAAAUGCGAUAAGUAAUGUGAAUUGCAGAAUUCAGUGAAUCAUCGAAUAUUUGAACGCACAUUGCGCCCUCUGGUAUUCCGGGGGGCAUGCCUGUUCGAGCGUCAUUAUAACCACUCAAGCUCUCGCUUGGUAUUGGGGCUCGCGGUUCCGCGGCCCCUAAAAUCAGUGGCGGUGCCUGUCGGCUCUACGCGUAGUAAUACUCCUCGCGAUUGAGUCCCNNUAGGUCUACUUGCCAGCAACCCCCAAUUUUUACAGGUUGACCUCGGAUCAGGUAGGGAUACCCGCUGAACUUAAGCAUAUCAAUAAGCGGAGGA
This 330-nucleotide unclassified non-coding RNA is filed under the name soil metagenome. Its description in RNAcentral is "partial contains 5.8S ribosomal RNA, internal transcribed spacer 2, and large subunit ribosomal RNA". The stretch from base 1 to 120 matches the Rfam family "5.8S ribosomal RNA", at positions 35 to 154 of the family's 154-position model. The record is from RNAcentral.